CUCUUUCCUCUCAACGUGCUGUCCUUCGCAUGCGUUUCUUCGACAAUGACUCCCGUUGUGUUCUCUCCCUCAAGGCCAAGCCUGUUCUAAUCAAUGGUGUCAGCCGUGUCGAGGAAGAUGAAGAAGAAAUCGAUCCUGUGAUUGGUCGUGAAUGCGUCGCUGAUCCAUCCAAGUUAAGUUCUAUCGAAUCCAGGAUUUUGAAGAGGUGCAAAGAUGAGUUUGGGAUUGUGGAAGGAAUGGGUUUUGUUUGUUUGGGUGGGUUUGAGAACUUGAGACAAGUUUAUGAGUGGAGAGGGUUGAAGCUGGAGGUGGAUGAGACUAAAUAUAGCUUUGGGGUUUCUUAUGAGGUGGAAUGUGAAACAUCUGAUCCUGAAGAGGUUAAGAGACAACUCGAAGAGUUUCUGAAGGAUAAUGGGAUCGAUUAUAAAUACUCAGAGAUGUCAAAGUUUGCAGUUUUUCGAUCUGGGAAGCUGCCUUAGUCAGUGAACUCAAUGAUUGGGCUUAUAGGUUGACCUGAAGCAUAACUGUCGUGAAGGGCCAUGGCAAAGAAGUGAAGAUCACAGGAUUUGGCAGAAAACUAAAUUUUCUUUGCGCCAUUGCAUCUAAUUCCCUAGACACAAUUAAGUUUGCCAUGGACAUGUAAUUGACAAUGCAUAUUAUUUUCUUUUGUAACAUGAUUAUCUUGUGAACCCCAAGAGUAAAUCAUACAUGUUCAUUGCCUGAGGAUUGUGCAUCUAUCGCAUGCAUCUGGGUUUAGGUAAUGUUUGGUAGAACUUAAUGUAAUGCAAUAUAAUUAAUUAUGUAAUGAAUCAAAGUUUUAAUGUAAUGC
RNAcentral lists this unclassified non-coding RNA (829 nucleotides) under Hevea brasiliensis (rubber tree). Lineage: Eukaryota; Viridiplantae; Streptophyta; Magnoliopsida; Malpighiales; Euphorbiaceae. The record is from RNAcentral.